Molecule: ribosomal RNA, 443 nt
Filed under: uncultured bacterium
Lineage: Bacteria
Description: partial 16S ribosomal RNA
Rfam family: Bacterial small subunit ribosomal RNA
Source: RNAcentral
CCUACGGGUGGCAGCAGUGGGGGAUAUUGGACAAUGGGGGAAACCCUGAUCCAGCGACGCCGCGUGAGUGAAGAAGUAUUUCGGUAUGUAAAGCUCUAUCAGCAGGGCGGAAAGAAAUGAUGGUACCUGAGUAAGAAGCCCCUGCUAACUUCGUGCCAGCAGCCGCGGUAAUACGGAGGGGGCAAUCGUUCUCCGGAAUUACUGGGAGUAAAGGGGGCGUAGACGGUAAUGCAAGUCUGGUGUGAAAGGCGGGGGACCAACCCCCGGACUGCAUUGGAUACUUUGUAACUGGAGUGCAGUAGAGGCAAGGGGAAUUCCUAGUGUAGCGGUGAAAUGCGUAGAUAUUAGGAGGAACACCAGUGGCGAAAGCGGCUUUCUGGACUGUAAUUGACGUUGAGGCUCGAAAGCGAGGGGAGCAAAUAGGAUUAGAUACCCCAGUAGUC